Molecule: long non-coding RNA, 163 nt
Filed under: Monodelphis domestica (gray short-tailed opossum)
Lineage: Eukaryota; Metazoa; Chordata; Mammalia; Didelphimorphia; Didelphidae
Description: lncRNA (ENSMODG00000036672.1)
Source: RNAcentral
AACAUACCCCUGAGUAAGAGGAACUAUUUUAUUUCACUGAUCUUCUCCUACUUGACCCAGAUAUAGUCCCUGAUCUGGAGUGAUGACCUGAGAUCCAACCUCCUUUUCCAUUAUCUGCAGAUGUGAAUUCUAUUGGUAUGCCCAAAGAAUUGUAAAGGAGAUU